CAUCGCCCGCUGCGCCUCCGGAAGCGCCGCAAGCGGUGACGUGGAACUCAGAGCCGCCCGCAAGGCGGGGCCGCGACGCGGGCGCGGGGGAGGGGAGGGGACAUCCGGGCACCCUGCGCCGGGACACAGUGCCGCGUUCCCCGGGGCUCGCGGCCGGGGGGAGGGAGGGGAAAACGGGGUGCCCCCGACGCUCUUUAACUCUGCGCUGAGGGGCGGGGCGGAGAGGGGCUUGCUGGGCCCGCCCAGCUUCUCCCUUCCGCGCGGGGCUGCCGGGGAAGCUCAGGGCCUGGGUGGGACUUAGAUGAAAUCUUUUCAAGGUACCGCCCCAAGCCUUGCCUAGCUCAGUCUCCACCCCUUUUUGUGGGCAGAAGUGUCUGCGGUUAUAGGGGGUUUUGGGAUUACGGAGGGCCGGGCACGCGGUCCUGGAGGAGAGUGCGAGGCUAUACACAGGAUAAGGGCAGGAAAUUGGUGUUUGGUUUAUGGUCCCUGUGGACCUCGGAGAACUUUUCAGCUUUGGCCCCAGGGCUUCCUAGCCUGGAGUUGGGAACGCCUCUGUGGGGCAGAGCCCAGUCCGGGUAGAGGGAGCCAGCUUGGACCGCCCGGCCCCGGAAUAAUCGUGGUUCGGAGGCUGCACGAGGCUUCUAUGGGCGCAGAUUCUGUGGGAGAGGGUUUAAGGAGGAGGGAAGGUGUCACGGAAGUCUGCACGGUUUUCCCGUCUUUUUACUUUGGACCUUUAUUUGAAGUGUUGCUGUAUUUCUGUGGCGGACAGCUAAAGAGCUCUUCCCCUUUGUGUUUUGUACCUGGUCUUGAAUUAUGUUCGUUUGAAAAAGGACGUGUUGUCACUUUAAGAUAAAGUUGAAAUUUUAUCUCUGGUAUUAGAAUAAUAUCAAAAUAGAGAGCUUCCCACUUGCCCAAGUGUUAUUUGAAGGAUUUUAGACCCAGUUGGAGCCCUGGAGGCGCAGCGGGUUAAGAGCUCGGCUCCUAACCAAAACGUCCACAGUUUGAACCCACCAGCCGCUCCUUGGAAAUCCUAUGGGGCAGUACUACUCUGUUCUUUAGGGUCGCUAUGAGUCUGAAUCGACUGGACGGCAAUGGGUUUGGUUUGGUUCAGACCCCAUUACAAGGCACUAAAAAAAAACCUCCCUUUUUAGGCGCUGAAGGCAAAGAUGUAUGUCACUAUGAAACUUGAGAGCUUGUUCCAUUCCGCAAGUAUUUUUGUGCUUUCCUGUGUCCCUGGCGCUGAGAUUUCCACGGAGAUCACAACUGUGAACAGGAUAAUUAAUGGCGUAGUCGGCAGAAUAUUUCUGAAGCCGUGAAUCCAGUCGACCUCGAGGAGACCUGGACUGUGGAACAGAAGCCAGCAAAGAGGUCCUGUUGUCUAGACUCCACACAUUUGCACACCACAUCCUCUUGGAAAAUGAGACUUUGCUGCUAUUUUUUGUUCUCUUUCUCUUGUUUCCUUAAGUUUUGUUUGGCGUAUUUGUUUGAAGAUCAAUCGUUUAAUUAAGGAGAAUCUUUCUUAAAUUUUUUGCUUCGUUAUUUGGUUAAGAGUGACAUCUAGUAUCUCUUUUGGUGAACUACAGUUUGGUGUCUGGAUUCGGGCAUUUGAAACACUAAAGAGAUAAUUCCAUUUUCAAAGAGCUCUGGGGUUGGUAUAACAAGGCCUUAAAAAUGGACAAAUCGUUCCUAAUAUGCCUGGGAAUUAAUGAAAAUGAUUUUGUUCUAACAAAGGUUUUUUAUGUUUUUGUUGACUUUAAAAGCAAAAUCUUUCUAACUUAAAAGCUAGAUAUUGUGUGAAACGUUUUAUUUAAGGAAAAGGGAUCAUUUUGUGUUAAAGUAAAACUAGUAGUUCCAGAGUGGGAGAAAGGAGGCAUAGGACAAGCCUAGAAGGAAAAAAAAAAAAAAAGAGGGCUAACCAAGAAAUAAUGGAUUCAUUUAUAAAAUUGCUAAAGAG
Molecule: long non-coding RNA, 1954 nt
Organism: Loxodonta africana (African savanna elephant)
Lineage: Eukaryota; Metazoa; Chordata; Mammalia; Proboscidea; Elephantidae
Exons: 2
Source: RefSeq, a predicted model, not a curated record